GAUCUGUGACCCGUAAAAAUAAAAUAAACCCGCAUAACCUCCGGGACUGACGCAGAGUCGCUCUGUGCUUCAUGAGUGUGAACUCUGAGAACCUGCCAGAGGUAAAUUCACGUGUUUGGUGCCGUUGUUUGAAACGUGUGAACAACGAGCCGAGUUUCUAAUCGAUGCUAACCUUUAGCUUAGCUUAGCCGCCUCAUAAGCUUUCAGCUGUUAGUUCUGCAUUGCAGCUAGCAGUUGCUAAUUCUCACGCAUAUUGGGGGUUUUUCGCUAUGAAUUAGCCUUUAGCUCAUUUACUAAGAGGAAUUAAGUGAUUCGGGGCCGGAUAUUUGCCGUUAGAGGGAGAAUCCUGGACCAUUGAGACCAUUGAGAGGCUGUAGCUGCUGGACUUGACCCUGGGUCCUGCGCCGUGUGGCCGGAAGCUCCGGUCACCGCUGGAACUGCACCUGCUCUUUCCCCUUUUCCCCUUUUCGCCCCAUCUUCAUCUCUGACUGUGCUGGACUCGUCGCGUCAUGAAGCCUCAGGACAGAUGAAGCUCCUGGUUUUGAAGCAAAGACUCUGAUGUUGAUGCUCUGCUGCCUCCAAGUGGCCGAGGAGGGAAUGAAGCAGCUGCUCAUCAAUGAAUCAACUCAAAUGUUGUGAUGAACUGAUGUAUUUUACAGACUCACCUGCAUCCGAUGGACACAGCAGCAGAAUCUGACGUCUGAUCUGAAGAUUCCUUCCUUUAAACAUCCAUCAGGUAAUAAUCCAGCGGCAGGACGUCCUCAGCUUUUAUUCCAUCACUUCUUUUUUUAAAACAACAACAAAAAAAAACUUUUCUUUUUUUCCAGCUGCUGGAUGAUCCAGAGUCCAGGGAGAGAUUCACUGAGAUGUUAAUGGAUGAAAAACAGCCGUGGCCUCUCUGCAGACUCUAUUAGCGAAGCUGAUGAAACGUCCAGACUGACACGGGCUCUGAAAAACAGCGUCGAUGCAGAAUCCAUCACAUCACAUCCUCCUGGUCUGGUUCAGGCUCCAUCAGCUGCAGCCGCGACACAAACCGAGCGUUCAGACGUAUGAAGGUCGGACGGUCUCUAUCAGAUUUAAGAACCAGGAUGUGACGUUAGGACCAUCUCAAUGGUUACAGCUUGUUAAAUGAGCUCAUUAAUAAUUAAAUGUCCCGCUGUAACACUGGGAGCCCUGACAUCAGGGAUUUAGUGGUUUUUGUGCUGAUUGGACCUUUCAACAAUGAAUAAACAAACAUAUUUAGAACCAGUUCCACACAGGAAUUUAGAUCUGAGCAAGGAAACAGUGUUUUCAUUGUAUUUGAGGUUAUUUCUGUUAGUUCUGUAGACAUUUCUAUAACCAGACUGAAACCAGUUUAAAAAACAGAACCUGGCAUUAAGCAUUUCAAACCAGUUCAAACCAGGAUCCAAACCCAGUCUAAAACCAGCUCUAAAAUCAGCUCUAAAACCAGUUAAAAUAAAGGUGUAAAAUCAGUCAAAACCCAGUUCAAAAGGUCAUAAAACCAGCAUAAACAAAUAUAAAACUGAAACCAAUCUAAACCAGUUCAAACUGAUCCAAAAACGAGUCUAAAACCAUUUUAAAAGACUGAAAAACCAGGUCCUGAACCGUAAACCCCGUGUGAACCUCCUUUGUUUCCCUCCUCCUCCACUCGUCUCAUCGGUCGGUCUGAGCCUCACUUCAGUAACUUUUAUC
This is a long non-coding RNA of Mugil cephalus (flathead mullet), 1692 nucleotides long. RefSeq lists it as uncharacterized. NCBI's taxonomy places the organism in Eukaryota, Metazoa, Chordata, Actinopteri, Mugiliformes, Mugilidae. The record is from RefSeq and is a predicted model, not a curated record. The transcript has 4 exons.